RNAcentral lists this ribosomal RNA (467 nucleotides) under uncultured bacterium. RNAcentral's name for it is "partial 16S ribosomal RNA". It matches the Rfam family "Bacterial small subunit ribosomal RNA", at positions 28 to 507 of the family's 1533-position model. The record is from RNAcentral.
GACGAACGCUGGCGGCGUGCUUAACACAUGCAAGUCGAACGGAAAGGCCCUGCUUUUGUGGGGUGCUCGAGUGGCGAACGGGUGAGUAACACGAGAGUAACCUGCCCUUGACUUUGGGAUAACUUCAGGAAACUGGGGCUAAUACCGGAUAGGAGCUCCUGCUGCAUGGUGGGGGUUGGAAAGUUUCGGCGGUUGGGGAUGGACUCGCGGCUUAUCAGCUUGUUGGUGGGGUAGUGGCUUACCAAGGCUUUGACGGGUAGCCGGCCUGAGAGGGUGACCGGCCACAUUGGGACUGAGAUACGGCCAGACUCCUACGGGAGGCAGCAGUGGGGAAUAUUGCACAAUGGGCGGAAGCCUGAUGCAGCAACGCCGCGUGCGGGAUGACGGCCUUCGGGUUGUAAACCGCUUUCGCCUGUGACGAAGCGUGAGUGACGGUAAUGGGUAAAGAAGCACCGGCUAACUACGUG